UACUCCUCCUCUAUAUCGUGGACUCUGCCCUCCUUUACCUCCACGCAUCCUUUCUUCAUGGACUACUCUGCUCUCUUCCGUGCUAGGUUUUCCCUAUGAGUUACAGCCGCCUCUUUUCAUCUUAGCGUCGUGUAGUCAGAUGGCAUAAAUUCAAAGCAGACAAGACGAUGUGCCAUCCCAAUGGAGACGUGAUGGCUUCUCCCAUAUCCUUCUGUACGACCCUGCCGCAGUCUCGCAGAUCUGGUUUUCUUGGCGACUCAGUCGUCGGGUGCGGAAGCGGGACUGCAGACACCGGCGCCACGGCCACCAUGUCCACGCCGUGUGAGCUGUGGAGGCCACACUCCUGGUACCCGUGGCGUAUCUUGGCACGCCCGCGAGAACUGAGACUCAAUUUGAAGCCUUGCUUUGGCCGACGCAGAGGGCAAACGCCAUGGAUGCCUGGCACUCUACUACAUCUAAUUAUAAUCGUAAGGUGGAGGUGGAGGACAUGGAUUUGCACUGACAUUAAUCUCCUGAUGAAAUUGCGAGAGAGAGAGAGAGA
This is a long non-coding RNA of Triticum aestivum (bread wheat), 541 nucleotides long. RefSeq lists it as uncharacterized. The transcript is spliced from 3 exons. NCBI's taxonomy places the organism in Eukaryota, Viridiplantae, Streptophyta, Magnoliopsida, Poales, Poaceae. The record is from RefSeq and is a predicted model, not a curated record.